Piptocephalis cylindrospora is the source of this 71-nucleotide non-coding RNA. The record is from the annotation of a GenBank genome assembly. Lineage: Eukaryota; Fungi; Zoopagomycota; Zoopagomycetes; Zoopagales; Piptocephalidaceae.
UAUUCUGUAGUACAGUGGUAGAAUUGAAGCUUCCCAAGCUUUAACCCCGGAUUCGAUUCCCGGCGGGCGCA